RNAcentral lists this ribosomal RNA (474 nucleotides) under uncultured Alphaproteobacteria bacterium. RNAcentral describes it as "bacterial SSU rRNA". It matches the Rfam family "Bacterial small subunit ribosomal RNA", at positions 9 to 524 of the family's 1533-position model. The record is from RNAcentral. Lineage: Bacteria; Pseudomonadati; Pseudomonadota; Alphaproteobacteria.
GAGUUUGAUCAUGGCUCAGAGCGAACGCUGGCGGCAGGCUUAACACAUGCAAGUCGAACGGGCGUAGCAAUACGUCAGUGGCAGACGGGUGAGUAACGCGUGGGAACGUACCUUUUGGUUCGGAACAACUGAGGGAAACUUCAGCUAAUACCGAAUAAGCCCUUACGGGGAAAGAUUUAUCGCCGAAAGAUCGGCCCGCGUCUGAUUAGCUUGUUGGUGAGGUAACGGCUCACCAAGGCGACGAUCAGUAGCUGGUCUGAGAGGAUGAUCAGCCACAUUGGGACUGAGACACGGCCCAAACUCCUACGGGAGGCAGCAGUGGGGAAUAUUGGACAAUGGGCGAAAGCCUGAUCCAGCCAUGCCGCGUGAGUGAUGAAGGCCCUAGGGUUGUAAAGCUCUUUUGUGCGGGAAGAUAAUGACGGUACCGCAAGAAUAAGCCCCGGCUAACUUCGUGCCAGCAGCCGCCGCGGUAAC